Molecule: ribosomal RNA, 1344 nt
Filed under: Triticum aestivum (bread wheat)
Lineage: Eukaryota; Viridiplantae; Streptophyta; Magnoliopsida; Poales; Poaceae
Description: partial small subunit ribosomal RNA
Source: RNAcentral
AUGGACAUAGAAUCCUCCCGCUCCGGGGCCCAUGGCGAGCCCGACGCGGCGGCGUGGGUGACGGUCGAGGAGUGGGGCGGCUCCUCCGGCUCCGCGCUCUCCCGCACCGCCGUCCUCACCGCCUCCGCCUCCUCCCUCGCCUCCAACAGGUUCGGCAGCCGGUGGGGGCGGAUCGGCAGCCGCGUGCUCGGCGCCUUCGUGCCCGAGGGCUUUCCUGGCAGCGUCACUCCUGACUACGUCCCAUUCCAGAUGUGGGAUACCUUACAGGGGCUCUCGACAUACAUCCGUGCAAUGUUGUCUACUCAAGCCCUUUUAGGUGCCAUUGGCGUAGGUGAGAAAUCUGCCACGGUAAUUGGUGCCACUUUUCAGUGGUUUCUCAGGGAUUUGACUGGUAUGCUCGGAGGCAUAUUGUUCGCUUUCUAUCAGGGAUCCAACCUUGAUAGCAAUGCCAAAAUGUGGCGUCUAGUUGCAGACUUUAUGAAUGACCUUGGAAUGUUGAUGGAUCUUUUAAGCCCUUUGUUUCCUUCAUCAUUGAUAAUUAUAAUGUGCUUGGGCAGUCUAUCUCGGUCAUUCACUGGUGUUGCCAGUGGAGCAACUAGAGCAGCAUUAACACAACAUUUUGCACUUGCAAAUAAUGCCGCUGAUAUAUCUGCAAAGGAGGGCAGCCAAGAGACACUUGCAACAAUGUCAGGAAUGGGACUGGGAAUGUUGUUGGCACAUGUUACCAGGGGGCAUGAUUUGGUUGUAUGGGUUUCAUUCCUUUCUCUCACAAUAUUCCAUAUGUACGCAAAUUACAAGGCAGUGCAGUCACUUUCACUCAGUACAUUAAAUUAUGAGAGAACAUCCAUCUUGCUGCAGUAUUUUAUGGAACAUGGUGAAGUUCUUACACCAGAACAGGUUUCCAAGCAAGAGCAUAUUCUUCCGUUCUGGUCAAGCUGGCGGAAAUUACUUAGAGUUAAACUUCCACAUGAGCUUGUACACUUAGGUGCUAAAGCCUCGAUGCUUGCGCACUCCGACAUGCUGCUGAUUGCAAAAACAAGAUCCUACUAUACAAAUGCCAACUAUUUUUUGCUGGACAAGGACGGCAGUGUUUGUAUUUUCAUCCACAAGCAGGCAGUGGCAACUGAUGUCUUGAAGUCCUUCGUACAUGGACUCGUCUUAGCACGUUUUAUGCAGAAGAGCAAAUCUUGUCAUACAGAGGCUCACCAAUGGAUGGAUGAGAAAUACAACACCUUCAUCUCAAAGCUGAAAGUGGAAGGCUACUCAACGGAAAGACUUCUGUCGCAUUCGAUUGUUUGGAAGGCACACUGGGUUUAUGGUCCCUUGGAUGAGAAGACCAAGUAG